Molecule: ribosomal RNA, 453 nt
Filed under: uncultured Bacteroides sp.
Lineage: Bacteria; Pseudomonadati; Bacteroidota; Bacteroidia; Bacteroidales; Bacteroidaceae
Description: partial 16S ribosomal RNA
Rfam family: Bacterial small subunit ribosomal RNA
Source: RNAcentral
ACGGGAGGCAGCAGUGAGGAAUAUUGGUCAAUGGGCGGAAGCCUGAACCAGCCAAGUCGCGUGAAGGAUGAAGGUAUUAUGUAUUGUAAACUUCUUUAGACGCAGAGAAGUAAGGAGGUCGAGACCUCUGAUGCUAGUAUGCGUAGAAUAAGGAUCGGCUAACUCCGUGCCAGCAGCCGCGGUAAUACGGAGGAUCCGAGCGUUAUCCGGAUUUAUUGGGUUUAAAGGGUGCGCAGGCGGCCCUGUAAGUCAGCGGUUAAAUCGUGAGGCUCAACCUCAUCUCGCCGUUGAUACUGCAGGGCUUGAUUGCGGUCGAGGUUGGCGGAAUUCGCCGUGUAGCGGUGAAAUGCAUAGAUAUGGCGAAGAACUCCGAUUGCGUAGGCAGCUGACCAGGCCGUAAAUGACGCUCAUGCACGAAAGUGCGGGGAUCGAACAGGAUUAGAUACCCUGGUA